Long non-coding RNA from Vigna angularis (adzuki bean), 1456 nucleotides. RefSeq lists it as uncharacterized. The record is from RefSeq and is a predicted model, not a curated record. The transcript has 6 exons. Lineage: Eukaryota; Viridiplantae; Streptophyta; Magnoliopsida; Fabales; Fabaceae.
UUUCACGCUGCACUUCUAAUUCUUCUUCGACAAGCUCCUCUAUUUUCAGCGCGGAGUUCAAAAUCGUCAACGUCUGCAACGCCGCGUCCCUUUCCAGUUCUCCAAAUCAUUGCUUCACUUCCGCGCGCGUCUUCACUUUCACGCCGCACUUCUUUUCCUUUGCUUCUAAUUCGCCAUUAUCGUCGAAUGCCACCACCGUGCCUUCCAAAACACAGCAACAACAAGCACAAGAGCAUGCCUCUUUAUGUGAAGAAGCUUCUAGAAAGUUUCCUUCUCUCAUCGCUGAAUCCGCGAUCGUCACUAAAAUAAUCCAUGUCGACGACAUCAUUCCCCUUUUCAAGGGCUUCAGAAUUUGGCUCUCUGAACCUUCGAUGCUCUCCUCCUCUCUCUCCCCGGGUUCGAUUGUGUCGAUAAUCACCAUUAUGUUCGAAUUGAUACAAUUCAUUUCCCUCAACACUAAUAAAUCCCUAGGGUUUUGCUCUUCCUUUAAUUAGAAGUUUUUGAGAAAAUGAUGUGGUUUGAAGUCAUAUUUUAUGAUUUAUUAUUGUUUUUGUAGAAUCGCGAUGCUCAGUCCUUGCUUCCUCUAACAGUGAAGCAAAUAUACGAUGCGCUUCGAACAAACGAUGAUAAAGCCAAUUUCAUUGUUGACGGUGUGGACGUUAAUAAUGUACGUUCUCCUUGAAUCUCUGUUGGUUAAUUUGGUUAAAGUUUGGAGGUUCUGACAAUUGGAGCAACUUUUACCGUGGUCAUGGCAAAACCUUUUGCUGGGAUUCGGUUUCCUACUAUUCCUGUCGACCACAAGGCACAUUGUGGUGUGUUAUGGAAAAGAAAUGAAGAACCUAAUUUGAUCAAAUGCAUUAUAGAAUUUGAAACAGAUACACGAUCACAUCCUUCAAUUUUCCAAGAGAAGCGAACCUUCUAUAUGACUCAGCCUGUGAAACUACUCUGAUUAUACCAAAGGAGUAAUCUGCUUCCAAUUCGAAUUCACAGCAUAGAUGAAAGAACCCUGCAAUCAUUUAUGAGGGGAAAUUCCUAUAGAGGAAGAAUUACCACUCUAACAUACCUAGAAAAGAAUGAAGGCGGGGAGUGAAAGUGUUUGUACUGGCUGCCUCACCUUUUCAGAUCCAAAGGGGAGAUGCUGGUUUCUCAAGUCAAAUUUGCAUUUGUAUCUGGAUUAGCAAUAACCAUUUAAUUCAUACUAGGUCUAAUGGAUGUGGAAAAGUGGUUCAUAAGAGACUGGUUUGAGCUAUUGACAUGGCUGCAUUUGAGUUUGAUCUACUAGAAGAAUAUGAUUCACGCUUUGAGAAACUGAGUCUAGGUGAUAAAUUGCCUAUCAAAUUCUCCAAGUGAGUAAUUGUUAGAAAGACAAGUUAUUGAAUUAUAGACAAUGUAAUUGUUAAUUUUUUAAGUUGGAUUACAAACAAUGUAAUUUUCAAUUUCUAUGUAUAACAGUUUC